AUGCGGGCUUGUUCGGAACGAAGACACGGAUGGGUACACUUGGCUGUUCAAAACCUUCUUGGGUGCAUGAGUGGACUUGCUCCGAUGAACAUAAUAACAGGCCAGAAUUUUGGCAUGCGUGCAGGCAUAGAGGAGGCCUUUCUGUUGGUAGUGCACAUGCACUGCAGGUGGCACAUUAUAAAGAAGGCUGAGGAGACGCUAGGACCGUUCUUUGUUGACCGUCUAGAGCUGCACAAGGCAUUCGAGCUGUGUGUGGACCACAGCUUGACAGUGCAGGAGUUUGAAAGGAGCUGGAUGGCUAUGAUUGAAACAUAUCAAGUCCAAGACAACGAGACGCUUGCUAGCCUGUGGGAGAAGCGAAUGUACUGGGUGCCGACCUACUUCAUGCAGUCCUUCUUCCCGUUUUUGCAGACUACGCAGCGCAGCAAGGGGUUCAAUGCUGUUUUGAAGCGGUACGUGAUCCCUGGCAACUCAUUGCUACAGUUUGCCAAGCAAUACACCGCUUUGCAACAAAAAAUACUGAGAUCUGAGCUACAGCAAGAAGCAAACACCAAGCUAAAGCAGCCAAAAUUGCUAACAUAUUUACCGAUGGAGAGGCAGAUGAGCAAGAUAUACACCAACAAGAUCUUUAACAAAUUCCAGGAAGAAAUAAAGCGUGCCAGCAUGUAUACGGCUUUCCAGAUGGACGAACAUACGUUCAAGGUGUGUUCUAUCUUGGGCAUGUUGAAUUCGGAACCUGAAGACCCGGACAAGGGAAGAAACUACUUUGUGAAGGCCUCGAUAAGCGAAGGCAAAUACUACUGCCAAUGCCGCAAAUUCGAACGGGACAGGAUUGUGUGCUGUCACAUACUAAAAGUAAUGGACAUGAACGCGGUGACACGAAUGCCCCGCCAUUUCAUAAGACGGCGAUGGACUUGGGACGCUGGCGAUGCAUUGGCACCGCAAACAUCAAACGCAGUUUUGGCUGUGCAUGACGAGAGACCAGAGUCAACCAUGGAAGCGGUGAGGCAUAUUGUGUUGACAAAGAACUAUGCUGAACUAAUUGAUGAAGCGCGCAAGAGUGAUGAGACAGCGAGGGUCGCAGAAAAACAUAGGAAGGCCCUGAAAAGAGAGCUUGAUGAGAUCAAGAAGAGGAAAGUUGAGGAAGUCUUACACAAGUUCCCCCGCACAUCAAGUGUGCCUUCGUCCACGGGGCCAUCAUUUGAAAACUCGGGGGUAGGAUCUGGAACAGCAAGCACACAAACCCAGGCCAGGAACCCGCCCCGUUCCAUCACAAAGGGGCGUCCAAAAGAGAUAAGAUACAAAUCUGGAUUGGAGAUUCAAGCAAAACACAAGAAAACAAAGAAAGGGACGGGCAAUCCAUAA
RNAcentral lists this ribosomal RNA (1365 nucleotides) under Triticum aestivum (bread wheat). RNAcentral describes it as "partial small subunit ribosomal RNA". The record is from RNAcentral. Lineage: Eukaryota; Viridiplantae; Streptophyta; Magnoliopsida; Poales; Poaceae.